GACGAACGCUGGCGGCGUGCUUAACACAUGCAAGUCGAACGGGAUUUAGUAAACAGAAGCCUCGGUGGAAGAUUACUAAUGAGAGUGGCGAACGGGUGAGUAACGCGUGAGCAACCUGCCUAUGACAGUGGGAUAGCCUCGGGAAACCGGGAUUAAUACCGCAUAAAAUCGUAGAAACACAUGUUUUAACGGUCAAAGAUUUAUCGGUCAUAGAUGGGCUCGCGUCUGAUUAGCUAGUUGGUGAGAUAACAGCCCACCAAGGCGACGAUCAGUAGCCGGUCUGAGAGGAUGAACGGCCACAUUGGAACUGAGACACGGUCCAAACUCCUACGGGAGGCAGCAGUGGGGAAUAUUGCACAAUGGGGGAAACCCCGAUGCAGCGACGCCGCGUGAACGAAGAAGGUAUUCGUAUCGUAAAGUUCUGUCCUAUGGGAAGAUAAUGACAGUACCAUAGAAGAAAGCUCCGGCUAAAUACGUG
RNAcentral lists this ribosomal RNA (478 nucleotides) under uncultured bacterium. RNAcentral describes it as "partial 16S ribosomal RNA". It matches the Rfam family "Bacterial small subunit ribosomal RNA", at positions 28 to 507 of the family's 1533-position model. The record is from RNAcentral.